CACUCUCUGUCUCUCAAAAAUAAAUAACUGUAAAAAAAAAUUAAAAAAAAAGAAUUUUCCAUCUUCAUUUUUUAGGAAUUGUUCUUCUACUUCUGGGCCUUUUGCCAGAUCAUUGUCCUCUGUCACUCAAAAGUCCAAGAGGCUUAAAAAAAAAAAUCACAAAAUGUAUUUCCGUGUUUCUAAUUCUUUGUUUUCAGAAUAAAACUCAGUCCUGCAAAGCAAGAUACAUAGCAUUUGGUGACCUUAGUCCUCCCAGUCAAUCAUUGGCUCAGGUGUGUGUGACGUAAAUGCCACAAGCCCAAUGGGAAACAUUCACGUUCUCGUGGAAAUGAAAGCAAUUGACUUGUCAGUUUUAAGUGUUUCUUGCAUGGUUCAACUUUGCAGAGGACAGUGGCAGGAAAAAAAUGAAGAGAGGCAAACCAAGAGGGAGUGGAAUUCUGAAAGGAGCUAAGAAGGACUUCGCCUUUGAGGUAUGUCCAUCCCGGACUGCUCCCCCAGCAGAACCAGCCUGCAGCAUGAUGGCCAACCAAGAAGAGAAAACUAAGUCAGACUAACCAGCCACAAAGAACACGGGUAGAACAGGCAGUGACCAAGAUGAUUUUUGAGGGGAGGGAGAUAUUCCUUGGAGGACAGGAUAAAAGGUUAGUCUUUACUAUUUUUGGUACCCCCCCCCCCACUGCUGAGCACAGUGACCCAUGUGCUGCGGAUCCCAGUCAAGCCUGCUGUCGCCGACAUUAAGUUCAGACUGUGACUUCCCAGGGAAGAAUCUCCCUGACUAAGAGAGUGGGUCAGGGUGGAAGGUCCCUUGAGUCACCAAACUCUUCUGUUGAUGAUAGCAAAGCCAAGACCAGACGUGCCAGUGAUGCUGAUUUUACGUGCAUCGGUCACUGACACAUUUGCUGGGUUUCCAUAAAAUGCGAGAAAGUGAUCACAGACCGACUGCUCAUAAAUCCGCCAAACCCCCUACAGGCAGAGGGCCUUGAGAGAAAGAAGCUAAGGGCACAGCUGCCAACUGAGGAGUGAGGCAAAUAGCUCUUUGAAGAGGCCCACGGCCACACCAUUCUCCCAGGGUCCCCUGGAGAAGUGAGGGGUGAGGCUGGCUGGCUGUGUGAGGAGACGUCUCCCAGCAGGCUGAGAACGGAAGGGUUGUGGACAUGCCCGAGGCUACCCACAGAGGAAUUUGGAAGUGAAUAAAUAGUCACACCUGCACAUUCCCUUAGAAGAUUUUUCACAGCUUGAAUUGGCUACUAAAAGGUAGGCACCCCCCUUUUAAAGAACGUUUAAAAAAAACAAGGAUGCAGUUGCUUUCUGUGAAAGUAUGCUUGCUGUUGAUGUUCAGCUCUCUAUAAACGUAUAUUAAGUAAAUGUUACUACCAUAUGUGAGUAUGGUAGUGAGUAUGUGAGUAUUCUAUUAGCUGUUAAGUUAAAUUAGCUGUUAAGUUAAAACCAAAAUGCCUGUCCCUAUGUAGAAGGUGUGGAAAGAAACACAGUUUCUUUGGGAUUUGGUCCUUCAGUAUGGCAGAGUGCAGAGUUGAAGUAUUUGAAGAGUUCAGGCAUUGGUAUAUUAUGCAGGUACCAGUUGGAGACCCACAUAUGUCUUUUCUUU
Lynx canadensis (Canada lynx) is the source of this 1606-nucleotide long non-coding RNA. RefSeq lists it as uncharacterized. NCBI's taxonomy places the organism in Eukaryota, Metazoa, Chordata, Mammalia, Carnivora, Felidae. The record is from RefSeq and is a predicted model, not a curated record. The transcript has 4 exons.